Molecule: ribosomal RNA, 501 nt
Filed under: uncultured Glomeromycotina
Lineage: Eukaryota; Fungi; Glomeromycota
Description: partial small subunit ribosomal RNA
Rfam family: Eukaryotic small subunit ribosomal RNA
Source: RNAcentral
CCAAUAGCGUAUAUUAAAGUUGUUGCAGUUAAAAAGCUCGUAGUUGAACUUCGGGAUCAGUAAGUCGGUCGUGCCUACGGUACGUACUGGUUUUACUGGUUCCUUCCUUCUGACGAACCAUCAUGUCAUUAAUUUGGUGUGGUGGGGAAUCAGGACUGUUACUUUGAAAAAAUUAGAGUGUUUAAAGCAGGCUCGCGCUUGAAUACAUUAGCAUGGAAUAAUGAAAUAGGACGUUUGAUCCUAUUUUGUUGGUUUCUAGGAUCGACGUAAUGAUUAAUAGGGAUAGUUGGGGGCAUUAGUAUUCAAUUGUCAGAGGUGAAAUUCUUGGAUUUAUUGAAGACUAACUACUGCGAAAGCAUUUGCCAAGGAUGUUUUCAUUAAUCAAGAACGAAAGUUAGGGGAUCGAAGACGAUCAGAUACCGUCGUAGUCUUAACCAUAAACUAUGCCGACUAGGGAUCGGAUGAUGUUAAUUUUUUUAAUGACUCAUUCGGCGCCUUACG